Long non-coding RNA from Pyrus x bretschneideri (Chinese white pear), 1428 nucleotides. RefSeq lists it as uncharacterized. The transcript has 7 exons. The record is from RefSeq and is a predicted model, not a curated record. Lineage: Eukaryota; Viridiplantae; Streptophyta; Magnoliopsida; Rosales; Rosaceae.
UUGUGCAGUAAAUUGUCUAUUUUGCCCCUCUUUCAUUUUUGUUUGCAGCUGUUGCUCUCAUUUGAAAGGUGCUUUUUGGUGUUUUUGGUUGAGCUUUGGCCACGUUGUGUUUUAUAGUAAAGAUGCCGGAAGCAUCUUCGACUUUUUCUUUUCCUCUUCUGUUUUCUUUCUGUCGUUCCGUUUCUCUUUAGUUUUCCCGUCUGUCUUUUGAUUUCGGUUCCGAUCGGAUCUUCUCGAAGGUGUUUGGCGUUUUUUCCCCUGUUUUGCACAAAUGAAUCGCUCCCGUUCAGGUCUGAGCAUUCUGGUUAGCAGGCCCGCUUAGUUGAAUCAGCUAAGUUUCAUGUCUGACAUCGACGUACUGCUUCCACUGCCUUUGAUUAAGAUUUUUUGGCGAGAGAAUCAAGUUCAAAAUUCAAUUGAGGUUGCAUUUGCAAAGGGAGAAAAACAUCUUAGAUAGUUUUUGUGCUUAUGAAACAUUUGAGGGAAAAAAAAAAAGCUAAUUCAGCAAGGGAUUUACAACGUUGACAAAUACAUUUUCAAGCAAUGAAGACACAAAUAUUCAAAGUGCAACGGGGCUCUGUACCUUUGCUGAUGUUUCUGGCCGGUUGGUUGGGCGGCUUCCUCUAAUGGGGUACGCUUCUGUUAUUUUGUUAUAUGUUCUUUUGCCAUUCAUUCACUCAAAAUUCCAAAAAUCGAAUAUAGUAAAAUAGUAGGUCAAAUUCAUUAAUGUUAUCUUAACUUCUGUUUAAUAGAUUUAUAUUGUUGCAUGUUUGAUUUUAUUUUAUUUUUUUAAUUUAUUUAUUUUUUUUGCAUGUUUGAUUUUAUGAAUUUUUGCUGUUUGUUUUGUUAAUUGCAGAUUUAUAGUGUUUGAUUGAUUUCGGUGAGGGUGAGUUGUUAAGUUUUCCUUUAUUUAUUCAUGUUGUUUUAUAAAUGAUUACAUGUUCUAUAUCUAAUUUCACUAACUCUUCGGGUGUAUUUUUCACAGUGGUUGUUCAUUUUUUCUGUUAUCAGUGCUUACCACUUGUUUGAGAAUAUGUAUUAAAUUGGCCUUUUUUUAGAUUAUUGAUAUGUUUUGGAUGUUUUUUGGUUUGUCGUGUGUAAGAAUGUGAAAUCAACUAUAUAAGGUAGUCAAUUUCAAUAUAGCAGUAGCAGCUGCAGGAACUACAACAGUAGCAGCUGCUGGGAUUCUAGAUGGAUGAAGAGGAGUGGGGUUAUAUUGAAGUCAGACCCAAGCGCAUAUGUUCUGCUGUUCAAGCCAAAUGGCCAACCACUCUCUAGCAUCAAAGUGGACCAGUGAGUAUUACCAAACUUUAUCAAAUCAAAUAAUAUGAACAACUCAUCUUCUUUUCAACAUAUUUUUCCGACAUUUUUUUCAUGUAUCAAUGAUUAUUUUUCCAAAAUUUGAACCCAAGAAUCUAAAUGUGUUAC